This 467-nucleotide ribosomal RNA is filed under the name uncultured bacterium. RNAcentral describes it as "partial 16S ribosomal RNA". It matches the Rfam family "Bacterial small subunit ribosomal RNA", at positions 28 to 507 of the family's 1533-position model. The record is from RNAcentral.
GACGAACGCUGGCGGCGUGCUUAACACAUGCAAGUCGAACGAUGACGACCGAGCUUGCUCGGUCUGAUUAGUGGCGAACGGGUGAGUAACACGUGAGCAACCUGCCCUUCACUCUGGGAUAACCUCGGGAAAUCGGGGCUAAUACCGGAUAUGAGCUCCUGUCGCAUGGCGGGUGUUGGAAAGUUUUUCGGUGAAGGAUGGGCUCGCGGCCUAUCAGUUUGUUGGUGAGGUAGUGGCUCACCAAGGCGAUGACGGGUAGCCGGUCUGAGAGGGCGACCGGCCACACUGGGACUGAGACACGGCCCAGACUCCUACGGGAGGCAGCAGUGGGGAAUAUUGCACAAUGGGCGAAAGCCUGAUGCAGCGACGCCGCGUGAGGGAUGACGGCCUUCGGGUUGUAAACCUCUUUCAGCAGGGAAGAAGCGAAAGUGACGGUACCUGCAGAAGAAGCGCCGGCUAACUACGUG